CGAAAGCCUGACGGAGCAAUACCGCGUGAGGGAGGAAGGUCCUUGGAUUGUAAACCUCUUUUAUCAGGGAAGAAGUUCUGACGGUACCUGAUGAAUAAGCAUCGGCUAACUCCGUGCCAGCAGCCGCGGUAAUACGGAGGAUGCAAGCGUUAUCCGGAAUUAUUGGGCGUAAAGCGUCCGUAGGUGGUUAUGCAAGUCUGCCGUUAAAGAAUGGAGCUUAACUCCAUAGGAGCGGUGGAAACUGCAAGACUAGAGUACAGUAGGGGUAGCAGGAAUUCCCAGUGUAGCGGUGAAAUGCGUAGAUAUUGGGAAGAACAUCGGUGGCGAAAGCGU
Molecule: ribosomal RNA, 333 nt
Filed under: uncultured cyanobacterium
Lineage: Bacteria; Bacillati; Cyanobacteriota
Description: bacterial SSU rRNA
Rfam family: Bacterial small subunit ribosomal RNA
Source: RNAcentral